GAGUUUGAUCCUGGCUCAGAAUCAACGCUGGCGGCGUGCCUAACACAUGCAAGUCGAACGAGAAAGUGGAGCAAUCCAUGAGUAAAGUGGCGACCGGGUGAGUAACACGUGACUAACCUACCCUUGAGUGGGGGAUAACCUCGGGAAACCGGGGCUAAUACCGCAUAACAUCCUUGAAGUGGAAACUUUGGGGAUCAAAGGAGCAAUUCGCUUAAGGAGGGGGUCGCGGCUGAUUAGCUAGUUGGCGGGGUAACGGCCCACCAAGGCUUUGAUCGGUAGCCGGCCUGAGAGGGCGCACGGCCACACUGGAACUGAAACACGGUCCAGACUCCUACGGGAGGCAGCAGUGGGGAAUUUUGCGCAAUGGGGGAAACCCUGACGCAGCAACGCCGCGUGGAGGAUGAAGUCCCUUGGGACGUAAACUCCUUUCGACCGGGACGAUAAUGACGGUACCGGUGGAAGAAGCCCCGGCUAACUUCGUGCCAGCAGCCGCGGUAAUACGAGGGGGGCAAGCGUUGUUCGGAAUUAUUGGGCGUAAAGGGCGCGUAGGCGGUCAGCACAAGUCAGUUGUGAAAUCUCCGGGCUUAACUCGGAAAGGUCAACUGAUACUGUGCGACUAGAGUGCGGAAGGGGCAACUGGAAUUCUCGGUGUAGCGGUGAAAUGCGUAGAUAUCGAGAGGAACACCUGCGGCGAAGGCGGGUUGCUGGGCCGACACUGACGCUGAUGCGCGAAAGCCAGGGGAGCGAACGGGAUUAGAUACCCCGGUAGUCCUGGCCUUAAACGAUGGAUGCUUGGUGUCUGGGGUUUUAUAGUCCCCGGGUGCCGUAGCUAACGCGUUAAGCAUCCCGCCUGGGGAGUACGGUCGCAAGACUGAAACUCAAAGGAAUUGACGGGGACCCGCACAAGCGGUGGAGCAUGUGGUUCAAUUCGACGCAACGCGAAGAACCUUACCAGGGCUAGAAUGCCUCUGACAACCCUAGAGAUAGGGCUUCUUAGGGAAACCUAGGCAGAGUGCAAGGUGCUGCAUGGCUGUCGUCAGCUCGUGUCGUGAGAUGUUGGGUUAAGUCCCGCAACGAGCGCAACCCUUAUCGAUAGUUGCUAGCGGUUCGGCCGAGCACUCUAUUGAGACUGCCGUUGACAAAACGGAGGAAGGUGGGGAUGACGUCAAGUCCUCAUGGCCUUUAUGUCCUGGGCUACACACGUGCUACAAUGGCCGGUACAAAGCGCUGCAAACUCGCGAGAGGGAGCCAAUCGCAAAAAACCGGUCUCAGUUCGGAUUGCAGUCUGCAACUCGACUGCAUGAAGUCGGAAUCGCUAGUAAUCGCUGAUCAGCAGGCAGCGGUGAAUACGUUCCCGGGCCUUGCACACAC
RNAcentral lists this ribosomal RNA (1371 nucleotides) under uncultured Acidobacteriota bacterium. RNAcentral describes it as "uncultured Acidobacteria bacterium partial 16S ribosomal RNA". It matches the Rfam family "Bacterial small subunit ribosomal RNA". The record is from RNAcentral. Lineage: Bacteria; Pseudomonadati; Acidobacteriota.